UGCUCCCUGAUGUUAGCGGCGGACGGGUGAGUAACACGUGGGUAACCUGCCUGUAAGACUGGGAUAACUCCGGGAAACCGGGGCUAAUACCGGAUGCUUGUUUGAACCGCAUGGUUCAAACAUAAAAGGUGGCUUCGGCUACCACUUACAGAUGGACCCGCGGCGCAUUAGCUAGUUGGUGAGGUAAUGGCUCACCAAGGCAACGAUGCGUAGCCGACCUGAGAGGGUGAUCGGCCACACUGGGACUGAGACACGGCCCAGACUCCUACGGGAGGCAGCAGUAGGGAAUCUUCCGCAAUGGACGAAAGUCUGACGGAGCAACGCCGCGUGAGUGAUGAAGGUUUUCGGAUCGUAAAGCUCUGUUGUUAGGGAAGAACAAGUGCCGUUCAAAUAGGGCGGCACCUUGACGGUACCUAACCAGAAAGCCACGGCUAACUACGUGCCAGCAGCCGCGGUAAUACGUAGGUGGCAAGCGUUGUCCGGAAUUAUUGGGCGUAAAGGGCUCGCAGGCGGUUUCUUAAGUCUGAUGUGAAAGCCCCCGGCUCAACCGGGGAGGGUCAUUGGAAACUGGGGAACUUGAGUGCAGAAGAGGAGAGUGGAA
This 601-nucleotide ribosomal RNA is filed under the name Bacillus atrophaeus. Its description in RNAcentral is "bacterial SSU rRNA". It matches the Rfam family "Bacterial small subunit ribosomal RNA", at positions 80 to 666 of the family's 1533-position model. The record is from RNAcentral. Lineage: Bacteria; Bacillati; Bacillota; Bacilli; Caryophanales; Bacillaceae.